Molecule: long non-coding RNA, 425 nt
Organism: Humulus lupulus (European hop)
Lineage: Eukaryota; Viridiplantae; Streptophyta; Magnoliopsida; Rosales; Cannabaceae
Exons: 2
Source: RefSeq, a predicted model, not a curated record
AUUCUUAUUAUUAUGUUUAUUAUUUUAUUUUUUGGAACUAUAGGUUGUUGGAAAGGUUCUCCCAGAACUGAAUGGAAAACUUACUGGAAUGGCCUUUCGUGUUCCAACUCCUAAUGUCUCGGUGGUGGACCUAACUUGUCGACUUGAGAAGAGUGCUUCCUAUGAAGAUGUCAAGGCGGCCAUAAAGUAUGCAUCAGAGGGACCACUUAAAGGCAUUCUUGGGUAUACUUAAUUUUGAAGGCUUUGUGUUGGGCAGCUGUAGAAUAUUUUGUGUUGAAAGUAGUAACUUUUCACUAUGUUGAAUAUUUAAGACUCCUUGAAUACUUAAAGAACAUUUUGUUAUUGAUGACAGUGUUGAAUAUUUUAAACUAAUUUGUGGAUUGUUAAUACAAUGUUGAAUGUUUUUACUUUUUGUUAUUUGAAAA